AAAGGAAUUGACGGGGGCCCGCACAAGCAGUGGAGUAUGUGGUUUAAUUCGAAGCAACGCGAAGAACCUUACCAGGGCUUGACAUCCCUUGAACGCAUCAGAGAUGAUGUUUCCCUUCGGGGCAAGGAGACAGGUGGUGCAUGGUUGUCGUCAGCUCGUGUCGUGAGAUGUUGGGUUAAGUCCCGCAACGAGCGCAACCCCUGUUGUUAGUUGCCAUCAUUAAGUUGGGCACUCUAGCAAGACUGCCGGUGACAAAUCGGAGGAAGGUGGGGACGACGUCAAAUCAUCAUGCCCCUUAUGUCCUGGGCUACACACGUACUACAAUGGCUACUACAACAGGAAGCGAAGUCGCGAGGCGGAGCCAAUCCCAAAAAGUAGCCUCAGUUCAGAUUGCAGGCUGAAACUCGCCUGCAUGAAGUAGGAAUUGCUAGUAAUGGCAGGUCAGCAUACUGCCGUGAAUACGUUCCCGGGCCUUGUACACACCGCCCGU
Molecule: ribosomal RNA, 490 nt
Filed under: uncultured bacterium
Lineage: Bacteria
Description: bacterial SSU rRNA
Rfam family: Bacterial small subunit ribosomal RNA
Source: RNAcentral